Erythranthe guttata (spotted monkey flower) is the source of this 556-nucleotide non-coding RNA. The record is from RefSeq and is a predicted model, not a curated record. Lineage: Eukaryota; Viridiplantae; Streptophyta; Magnoliopsida; Lamiales; Phrymaceae.
AGUAGUUGCAACUCAUUCCCACACAUAUAUCAUCAAAAAUUAACUCUCUUUCCUAAAGAUAAUAAUAUAAUUAAUGGGGCGCUUCACUGCAGUUCUCUUGGUGCUUGUCCUAGUCAUGGUCACUGAAAUAGGGCCGAUGGUGGGAGAGGCAAGGACGUGUUUGUCGCAAAGCCAGCGUUUCAGGGGGCCUUGCGUGAGCGACACCAACUGCAGAUUGGUUUGCCACAACGAGGGCUUCUCCGGCGGCGACUGCCAGGGCUUCCGCCGCCGCUGCUUCUGCACCAAACAUUGCUGAUCCAUGACGACGUCAACCCCAAUCGUAUCGUAUCGUAUCGUAUCGUAUCGUAUCGCUUCCUUUGCUGCUGGCCGGCAUGACUUAUUAGUUAGUGAUGGAUGUGUAUCGGAUUUCCGGAGUGUUUUUCUUUCUGUUUUCGAGUACUUAAUUAAGAAGUCUCUCGUGGUGAGACUUUGAAUGUGGUGUGUUUGUAAUAAUGCGAUCGCGCGAGUAAUGUGUUUGUGACAAUAAAAUGGAGUCUUACUCUUCAUCACCGAUUCA